UACGUAGGGUGCAAGCGUUGUCCGGAAUUAUUGGGCGUAAAGGGCUCGUAGGCGGUCCAUCGCGUCGGGAGUGAAAAGCUGGGGCUUAACCCCAGUCCUGCUUCCGAUACGGGUGGACUAGAGGUAGGUAGGGGAGAUCGGAAUUCCUGGUGUAGCGGUGAAAUGCGCAGAUAUCAGGAGGAACACCGGUGGCGAAGGCGGCAUCCUGGACCGGCAUUGACGCUGAGGCGCGAAAGCUAGGGGAGCAAACGGG
Molecule: ribosomal RNA, 253 nt
Filed under: uncultured bacterium
Lineage: Bacteria
Description: partial 16S ribosomal RNA
Rfam family: Bacterial small subunit ribosomal RNA
Source: RNAcentral